CCCUACGGGGGGCAGCAGUGGGGAAUAUUGCGCAAUGGGGGAAACCCUGACGCAGCAACGCCGCGUGCGGGAUGAAGGCCUUCGGGUUGUAAACCGCUUUCAGCAGGGAAGACGCAGACGGUACCUGCAGAAGAAGCCCCGGCUAACUACGUGCCAGCAGCCGCGGUAAUACGUAGGGGGCGAGCGUUACCCGGAUUCAUUGGGCGUAAAGCGCGCGCAGGCGGACCGUUAAGCGGGACCUCUAAUCCUGGGGCUCAACCUCAGGCCGGGUCCCGAACUGGCGGGCUCGAGUGCGGUGGGGGGGG
RNAcentral lists this ribosomal RNA (305 nucleotides) under uncultured bacterium. Its description in RNAcentral is "partial 16S ribosomal RNA". It matches the Rfam family "Bacterial small subunit ribosomal RNA", at positions 337 to 660 of the family's 1533-position model. The record is from RNAcentral.